GAGUUUGAUUAUGGCUCAGGACGAACGCUGGCGGCGUGCCUAAUACAUGCAAGUGGAACGCAUUGAUUUCACCGGAGCUUGCUCCACCGAAAUUAGUGAGUCGCGAACGGGUGAGUAACGCGUAGGUAACCUACCUCUUAGCGGGGGAUAACUAUUGGAAACGAUAGCUAAUACCGCAUAACAAUAGGAUACACAUGUACCCUAUUUAAAAGGAGCAACUGCUUCACUAAGAGAUGGACCUGCGUUGUAUUAGCUAGUUGGUAGGGUAACGGCCUACCAAGGCAUCGAUACAUAGCCGACCUGAGAGGGUGAUCGGCCACACUGGGACUGAGACACGGCCCAGACUCCUACGGGAGGCAGCAGUAGGGAAUCUUCGGCAAUGGGGGGAACCCUGACCGAGCAACCGCCGCGUGAGUGAAGAAGGUUUUCGGAUCGUAAAGCUCUGUUGUAAGAGAAGAACGUGUGAGAGAGUGGAAAGUUCUCANCAGUGA
Molecule: ribosomal RNA, 491 nt
Filed under: Streptococcus minor
Lineage: Bacteria; Bacillati; Bacillota; Bacilli; Lactobacillales; Streptococcaceae
Description: bacterial SSU rRNA
Rfam family: Bacterial small subunit ribosomal RNA
Source: RNAcentral